This 253-nucleotide ribosomal RNA is filed under the name uncultured bacterium. RNAcentral describes it as "partial 16S ribosomal RNA". It matches the Rfam family "Bacterial small subunit ribosomal RNA", at positions 524 to 776 of the family's 1533-position model. The record is from RNAcentral.
UACGUAGGGUGCAAGCGUUGUCCGGAAUUAUUGGGCGUAAAGAGCUUGUAGGUGGUUUGUCGCGUCUGCUGUGAAAAUCCGAGGCUCAACCUCGGACUUGCAGUGGGUACGGGCAGACUAGAGUGUGGUAGGGGAGACUGGAAUUCCUGGUGUAGCGGUGGAAUGCGCAGAUAUCAGGAAGAACACCUAUGGCGAAGGCAGCUCUCUGGGACGGUACUGACGCUGAGACGCGAAGGCGUGGGGAGCGAACAGG